UUCGGCGGUCAUGGCGGAGGGGUUAUACCUGGUCUCGUUUCGAUCCCAGAAGUGAAGUCCUCCUGCGUUUUUGAUUGUACUUUAGACGGGAUGUCUAUGGGAACUCUUCAACGCCGCCGGCC
This is a ribosomal RNA of Methanobacterium congolense, 122 nucleotides long. The record is from Rfam. NCBI's taxonomy places the organism in Archaea, Methanobacteriati, Methanobacteriota, Methanobacteria, Methanobacteriales, Methanobacteriaceae.